This 2842-nucleotide long non-coding RNA is filed under the name Olea europaea subsp. europaea. Lineage: Eukaryota; Viridiplantae; Streptophyta; Magnoliopsida; Lamiales; Oleaceae. The record is from RNAcentral.
AAUACACAAGCCCUAGAAUGAUUUUUCACUACUUCUUCCUUCCAUUGACAGCUCUCCAACAAAAUCAGAAUCAUUUCAACACUUUUUUUUUAGUUAUAAUUUUUUCCUUUUAUUUUCUCCCUCAAGCACAGAAAAACCACUCCCUCGUUUCUCUUCUAAUUCUCACUCAUCACGCAUGAAUGCUAGAAAAUUUUGAUCACUCUCUUCUCAAACAAUAAUUUACCCUAAUUUGUCUUUUCACGCACAACCCCAUUCCCUCAUUUUCGGAGAUAAGACUACCAACAUGGAAGGAGAGAGAGACCAAUAAGCGGGGAGAGAGGCGGCGGAGGGCAAUCGUUGCUCAGAUCUUCGUCGGCUUGAGGAUGUACGGUAGUUACAAGCUCCCCAAGCACUAUGAUAACAAAGAGGUUCUUAAAGCUCUAUGUAAUGAAACGGGUUGGAUCGUUGAAGAAGAUGGAAUAUUUUAUAGAAUGGUACUGUUCAAAUUCAUUUCCUCUGAUUAUGCAAUUUCUGAUCAAUUUUUUAAACAUUACUUUUAUGGUAAAUUUGGCAUCAUGUACUCUUCAUUUUAAUUUUAUGCACCAUUUGGACGAGUUUUAAGAAUUCUGAUGCUGGGAUCCUUUUACAGGCAUCUGUCAAAAAGGAAAACCAGAAAUUGUUCUUUUUUUUCUAAAAAAAAAAAAAAUGCAGUAAUGAGAUUUGUAUGCUCCUUUGGAGCUUCAGAGGGUAGAGAUUAUUAUCGUGUUGUGGGAACAUUCAGUAUAGCCUUGUAUAUGUAAUCGAAGUAAUAUACUUAACUUGUGGAUUUUCUAAUAAGAUGCAAGAUGGCUAUGUGACAUUCCAGAGAUUAAGCUGUCUUACCCAACGAAUAUUAUAUGAAAUUAAGCUGCAUUUGAAGCAAAAAUAUAUCAGAGUGUUUUCUUCAGUCCUUUACAUGUCUACAGCAUAGCUGUAAAUAUUGAGGAUAAUGCCUACUGGAGGCUAUUGUCUAUAGUGACAUCCUUAAUAGAAGAAAUUCUCUUCAGCUCUCAUCUUCUAUGAAUUGAGAGAGAGAGACUUUCUACGUGAUGUGAAAUGGGGGAUGAAAUGAAAGAAUAGAUAGAAAUUACAUGCAAUGAGAUUAAAAAAGAAAGGUUCUUUUGUAAGUUCAAUUAGUAGAAGUGAGGUUUAUUUGAAAUCUUCAAUCAUACUUGUUCUUCCACUUUAGUUUAUUGUUCGAACGACUCAUAAAAUUUAAGUUUGUGUAUUCCCAGAGUAAUCACAACAACCAAGGCAGGAGGAGAAUGAGAGGUAGAACUUUUAGAGCUGAAAGAGAAGAUAAUAUUGGAAGAACAAUUUAUGUUUUUGACAUCGAUCACAAUGUAAGCGAAGAUUAAUGGGCUUGCAUAACUCUAUCAAUCUUUUACAAUCCAUAUUGAUACAAUUUACUUGCUUCGUAUAUUCAGCAGCUACGGACAAGUAAGUUCCUCAUUCUGAUUGUUGUUUGAUUAGUCUAUGCACAAUACAGAUAUCGAAACUCACUAAAGAUAUGAUAGAGGUGGAUGGAAGUUGUUGUUUGAUUGAGAUGUAAUUUAUCUUCUUCAUCUAAGAAGAGAUUAUUUGUGUAGAACACAAUUUGGAGAUGAAUAUGAUAUCAUAAUACUAUGGUCAUAUUGCUAAGUUUGGCAGACUACACUCUGAGGAGAUGGUCGUGGAGUUGUUCUGCAUCAAAUUAUAAUUAAAAGAAAAGGGAUUAGAUCGUAACAUGAGGGUUUGGGGAGGGCCAUGAGAGAAAAACGAUUACCCCUGACUUAUGGCUUCUUUGAUCAGUGUAAUUGUUUGAUUUCCUAAAAUGUACUUUGGCGUUAGUGAAAAAAAAUAUAUUCAUAUAUUCAUGGUUAAUGAAAAAAAAAAUAUAAUAACCAAAAUUCAUCGUAAUUCUUUGUAGGAAUAUUCAUAUAUCCUUCUUUAUUUUUUUAUACAUGGUGUUAAGUUCUUUUCCAAAUACUAGGUGGUUGAAUGCACGGUGGUUGGUUGAUGUUAAAAAUAAGUAUAUGUAAAUUUUCGAGAAAUUCAUCUUCCACACAUGCAUGUGCACACGUUUGUAGUCAUUUAUUCUUGUAAAGGUGCAUGAGGGUACUUUUAAAAAGAUUCAUAUCCUCAAAAAUUGCUAUUGAAUUACAUAAUAUUAUUGCAAAACGUUCUUGUUUUAACCUCAUCAACUCGGGGCAAUUUUUUAUGGUACAUUUCAGCCUUUCUUGCAGAGAAUUAGCAACUUUUUCAAUGAGCUUGAUCAUGGAUUUCACUUUGGCAUCCAUAUUUGUUCACGAAACACACAAUUUAUAUUUCCAUUUUUGAUAUCAUAGGCUCAAAACCAAGUGGAGAAAACAUGUGUUAUGCCAAAGUAACAGAGUUCAACAUGGGGAAGGUCAAUCAACAAAAGUAUGAUUUUGAUUUUUGUAUUAUGCAUGCUUUCUUUUGGAUUUUGCUCACAAUGUGACUCAGACUUCCACAUGAAAGCAACAAGCAGCAUAACAUCCACCAAAGUUAAGUGAAGCUUAAGUGAGCAAUUGGGAUGCACCCCAAGAGAAGCUUACAGCCUUUAUUUUUGAGUUCGAUCGGGUUAUCAUGAAUAUAAAAAGUUACCUAAUUAUGGUUAAUGGCUUGGCAAAUAACUACGUGAAUCCAGAAAUUCUUAUCUAUUGCUUUAAUUGUAUAUAAGCAAAGAAGUCAACAGUUAUUAUGGGUCAAAUUUAUAGUCCCCAACUCCAAGAGCUAUAAGAAAAUACGCAAAGCAAAUCCACAGAGUUUUAGUAGUUCAACCUGAGUUUGAGAUUUGAAUUACCUUCAAUGUAAGAGAGUU